UACAGAGGUCUCAAGCGUUGUUCGGAUUCAUUGGGCGUAAAGGGUGCGUAGGCGGCGCGGUAAGUCCGUGGUGAAAUCUCUGAGCUUAACUCGGAAACUGCCGUGGAUACUAUUAGUCUUGAAUCUCGUGGAGGUAAGCGGAAUAUGUCAUGUAGCGGUGAAAUGCUUAGAUAUGACAUAGAACACCGAUAGCGAAGGCAGCUUGCUACACGAGUAUUGACACUGAGGCACGAAAGCGUGGGGAUCAAACAGG
Molecule: ribosomal RNA, 253 nt
Filed under: uncultured bacterium
Lineage: Bacteria
Description: partial 16S ribosomal RNA
Rfam family: Bacterial small subunit ribosomal RNA
Source: RNAcentral